AUUUACACUGUUUAGCAGCAAUAAUCUUCUGCUUAAUAUAAUUCCCACAAAUUAGCUGACAAGAAUCCAUCUUUCUUGUGUAAAAAAGAAGAAAAGAUUCUGCCUUUUCUGUAAAUUCCUCUAAAAGAAUCUCACCAAGACUAGUUGAUGAACAAUUGUUUCUUAGCUGGUACAUGGGUUUCAAGAAAAUGGCUUUAAUCACUCAUUUACCCAAACAAGAACAGACCCUUUUUAGUUUUGUAGCUGUAUCAGUGUUAUUGUUCUUAUGUU
Molecule: unclassified non-coding RNA, 270 nt
Filed under: Hevea brasiliensis (rubber tree)
Lineage: Eukaryota; Viridiplantae; Streptophyta; Magnoliopsida; Malpighiales; Euphorbiaceae
Source: RNAcentral